GGGCCCAGAGAGAACCCGCAAUUGCCCCCUCUCUCUUCGAUCGGUUGGAGUUUCCGCCCGAGCGAGACGGGGAGAAGGAGAAAUAUAGGGUUGUGGAAGAGAGCGCCGAGGGUAACGCAGAAGAAGAUGGAGAAAGAAACUCUAGGUGCCUAUGAAUGCUCCUCCUCCUCGUCCGACGACGAGUUUGUACUAGGGCUAACUACAGAGAAUCAGAUUUGGAAGAAGAUUCUUUGAAGUACCUAUGUGUGGCAUUCAUGUGCAACAAUGAAUAGGUACAUCAAAAGUGCACCUUUUAUUUGACUUCAAAUACUUGGAUUUCACUGCCUGAUGUAUGUUUCUGCAUUUUGUUUUACCAUAGUAAUGAGAAGGUAUAGACUUUAGCGUGUAAUUUAUUCACAACCUGAUACAAUAGUGAUAAUACAACUAGUAAAUUCCUAAUCUCCAACUAUUUAUCUCUUGGAUUCAGGCAUUUUUCAUUUGAUGUUUAAUUCUGAUCCAAAGCUGGAUUCAUGCUGCUAUAAGGAUAUAAUUGAUGAGGCAAUAACUGAAGAAGAGAUAUGUUUGUUGUUCUCAAUCAUAAACCCAUUAUGUCAGUUGUAGUUUGUGAAGAAUUAAACAUGUAAUUAAGGAUUUCUUAGCCAGUCCUUACUAUCCCCAAAAAAAAAAAAAAACUUAUUUAUCUGUUUACAUAUUAGUUACAGUAUUAUUAAUUAUAUCCCUCUGAUGGAAUUACAUUCAUGCUCAUGUUGACUUUUUGUUACUUUGAUGAUGAAUGAUAUAAUCAGAAACCUUGUUUGAAAAUCCUUGUGAUGAAUGCAAUAUUUCCAUCAACAGGCAGCUUAUGUUGACGCAAAGAUAUUUCUUUUUUAUUUUGUAGGAGAGUUGAAGACAAAUAAGGCUUAUCAAGAAUGGUCCAAUAAAGCAUCUGAAAGAGAAACUCCAUCCAAUCCAGUAGUUAGUAGGCUGGAGUAGUUUUCUCAAAACAUGUCCAUCAAUUAAUGCAACUUGUUUUCUCCUGACUGAAGCAUCAUUUUGACAAAUUUUUUAGGUCUAGAGAACAAGAAACAGAUAAGGGUGCAGUUUGGCUCUGCUCUCUCUUUGGCAGGUCAGGAAGCGAAAGCAUUGCCAGGUGAUCCAGAAGAAAAUAGGAAACAUGGAAUAGGAAGAACACUACUUCUGUGGUUGCAUCUUCUGAACAUAUACAUUGGAACAGGAUGGUCAUUCAUUUAACAUAGUUGCAUCACAUUACAAUGGAAGAUGAAGUAAAACCAAGAAGACAGUAGGCAAUCCAAGACUGGUGGAAACCGACCAAGAGAUGUAGAAAGAAGAAACAAACAUGAAAGAAUUGCAUUCUUUCCAUGUACAUAUGCCACAGCAAGUAUUUAGUUGAAGUAGGAGGCCACAAAGGAAAGGAGGGAUGCUGCAACCAGCGUCAUCAGGGCUGGGACUGGCACAAAUGCUGCACUUGGUGAUGGGGGAGAUGCCUCAGGCGCACCGUGGUCGUGGCCUUCAUGAGCCAACACUGUGGUGGCGGAGGCAGCAGCAACGAUGAGGGCGAAGCAGGCUACCAGCUUCUUCGUCUCCAUUGAUGAAGUCUACCGUGUCCCCUUUUAUCUGCCUCUACAGAUGGAGAGGGGGGAGAUUUAUAGUGUUUGUUCGGGUUCUCCAACCUUCUGUAAGAAAAGAUUAGGUAGGACAGAGAAUAUUAUAUUGUUGUGAUCGGCUUCCCAUGUAUUAAAUCAAAGUAAAAAAAAUUUAGGUAGGACAUAAUAUUAUGUUAUUA
Molecule: non-coding RNA, 1783 nt
Organism: Musa acuminata subsp. malaccensis (wild Malaysian banana)
Lineage: Eukaryota; Viridiplantae; Streptophyta; Magnoliopsida; Zingiberales; Musaceae
Source: RefSeq, a predicted model, not a curated record